GGGCUCCCAACCUUGAUAUUUUGACGUGUGUCAAAGAUUCCCAUAUAUGGGCUGUCGAGCACCCCACUUAUUCUGCUCUUACAAGGCCGUUGUGUGAACUUUCUGCUCUAGUACCUCCACAAUUACUUGUCUCUCACAAGAAGCUGAAGGUUUAUUCUAUGGUUGCACAUCCUUUACAGCCACACCUUGUAGCUACUGGAACCAAUAUUGGCAUUAUUCUCUGUGAAUUUGAUCAGAAGUCUCUUCCUCCCGUAGCAGUAUUGCCAACACCAACAGAAAGUCGUGAACAUACUGCUGUCUAUGUAGUUGAAAGGGAGUUGAAGCUGUUGCAAUUUCAGUUAUCUAACACCACUGCUCCAGCACUCGGAAGUAAUGGGUCUUUGAGUGACACAGGAAGGUUCAGAGGAGAGAUUCCUGAGCAACUCCACGUCAAACAAACCAAAAAGCAUAUUACUACUCCAGCUCCACACGAUUCUUACUCGGUUCUUUCUGUCAGCAGUUCUGGGAAGUAUCUCGCAAUUGUAUGGCCUGAUAUACCUUACUUCUCUAUCUACAAAGUCAGUGAUUGGUCAAUUGUUGAUUCUGGAAGUGCAAGGCUUUUGGCUUGGGAUACUUGUCGAGAUAGGUUUGCUUUGUUGGAGUCUGCACUUACUCCUAGAAUUCCCAUCAUUCCAAAAGGUUCAUCAAGAAAAGCGAAAGAAGCUGCUGCAGCUGCAGCACAGGCAGCAGCUGCUGCUGCUUCUGCUGCUUCUGCUGCCACUGUUCAAGUUCGUAUAUUGCUGGAUGACGGGACAUCAAAUG
This 801-nucleotide unclassified non-coding RNA is filed under the name Hevea brasiliensis (rubber tree). Lineage: Eukaryota; Viridiplantae; Streptophyta; Magnoliopsida; Malpighiales; Euphorbiaceae. The record is from RNAcentral.